This 642-nucleotide long non-coding RNA is filed under the name Homo sapiens (human). Its description in RNAcentral is "HSALNT0117072". The record is from RNAcentral. Lineage: Eukaryota; Metazoa; Chordata; Mammalia; Primates; Hominidae.
CUUUGCUUGGCACUUCUCUCUUCUGCUGCCAUGUGAAGAAGGAUGUGUUUGCUUCCCCUUCUGCUAUGAUUGUACGUCUCCUGAGGCCUCCGCAGUCAUGCAGAACUCGUUGUGAAGGAGAUACUAUCAUAUCCUUUAACAGCCCUGGUGAUGUUCGCUGCUCUGCACAGCACACGGUGACUACAUCCCAGAUCCAGAGCUGCGGAACUCUGGGGCCACGUCUCCAGCGCCGCAUUCGGCGGCACACGGAGGCCUGAGAAGGCGGGAGGGGUCAGUCUCUGGCUUCGAGUAGCAGCAAUACCAGGACAACCAUAGCUGAGUCAUGUCAAGAUGAACCAUAUGGCAUUACCAUUUUUUCACAGGUCAGGGCAAAGAAUACUGGUGAAUUCAUGGGUUUCAGCCUAAUUUAAAAUGUGUGUAUUCUUCAAAGUCUUUUAGGAGCUGUGGGGAUUAAAAGGGCCGGCAGGGGCUCAGAGCUCCGUUGGCUGGGUCUGGGGUCCCAGCUCUCAUCAGUGACAUCGCCCCGCAGCCCCAGGGCGGCCGCAGCACCCGAGCUUCCUCGGCUUCACAGGAGGGAAGUGCUCCCUCGGAGACAAAAUAUUUUUCCCAAAAGGAGCAAUUCAUCUACUUGGCUAUAAAUCA